This 228-nucleotide ribosomal RNA is filed under the name uncultured bacterium. RNAcentral describes it as "partial 16S ribosomal RNA". It matches the Rfam family "Bacterial small subunit ribosomal RNA", at positions 103 to 334 of the family's 1533-position model. The record is from RNAcentral.
CGGGUGAGCAAUACUUAGGAAUCUGCCCAUUAGUGGGGGACAACAUUCGGAAACGGAUGCUAAUACCGCAUACGCCCUACGGGGGAAAGCGGGGGAUCUUCGGACCUCGCGCUAAUGGAUGAGCCUAAGUCGGAUUAGCUUGUUGGUGAGGUAAUGGCUCACCAAGGCGACGAUCCGUAGCUGGUCUGAGAGGACGAUCAGCCACACUGGGACUGAGACACGGCCCAG